CAAAUUGUGUCGGCAGAAGAUAAGGAUUUAAUUUCAUUGCUAACAUACGUACAUAUUCGUUCGUUCUAUUCAUCAGAAAUGAUGUUGAAUAUAAUUGGAUAUGCUUUUCUUUUACAUUGGAUUUCAUACACAGUCCACCCUGUUGAGACUGUUGGGUGCAGGAACGACAGUGACUGUCACUGUCAAGGUGACAACUUUCAUGCCAUCUGUCAUCAGGAUGGAAAUGGACACUCCCAUUGUGGUGGUUGCGAUCCAGUCCAAUGCGAUCCCAAUCCCUGUAUUUCUUCGCAGAUCUGUGUAAUAGAAACACAACACGAUUCAAGCGUCUUCCGAUGCAGGG
Dreissena polymorpha is the source of this 340-nucleotide long non-coding RNA. RefSeq lists it as uncharacterized. The record is from RefSeq and is a predicted model, not a curated record. NCBI's taxonomy places the organism in Eukaryota, Metazoa, Mollusca, Bivalvia, Myida, Dreissenidae. The transcript is spliced from 3 exons.